This is a long non-coding RNA of Equus quagga, 740 nucleotides long. RefSeq lists it as uncharacterized. The record is from RefSeq and is a predicted model, not a curated record. The transcript is spliced from 3 exons. Lineage: Eukaryota; Metazoa; Chordata; Mammalia; Perissodactyla; Equidae.
CAGCCCUCAGUCUUUGAGUUGUCCCAGCUGAGAUCCAGAAAUUUUGGAACAGAGAGAAGUCAUCUGUACUACGACAUUUUAAAUCUUGACCCAUAAAAUUAGCGAGCAAAAUAAAAUGGUUAUUUUAUGACACUAAGCUUUGUGGUAGUUUGUUAGGUAGCAACAGCAAGCGGAAGAGUAGCUUGGUGAACGUUUCCUCUUGUGCAGAAGACCCAAACCUCUGAAACGCUUCUUCCUCUUCAAGCCACAGUUUUGCUGAGAAAAAGGAUGCUCCUUUGGAAAUCUCCAGCUAAAAUAAAAUAAAUGAACCUUUGUUUGAGCUUCAUAUCUGGUGUUGGAAAAGUGGUUACCUCACCUAUCUGCUGCCUGUGUUCACAUUUCCAAGAAUGAACAUGAUGAAAAUCAAACAGAUGAGCCAGAGGGAAACGCAUCAGGAUUUCCACCCAUCCUUGAAAAAGUUGCAACAGGAGAGAAGAGAGUUUCCCUUUGAACUGGGAUUUCGUCCUCAAAUAUUCUUCCAAUGUGAUGGACACCUGCAAACACGCAUGACUUUUUGGAAAAUCUUGUUUUAAAAAGUGAAGAUAUUGAAGCCUGGAGACGUGAAAUAAACACGCUGCCUGGGGUGACGCAGUUUAUGGGAAAUGACGAUGUUUCCAUGUUCUCAGGAACUGGGAAGUUUGUCUCACCAAGCAAAUGUUUGUUCUUCUUGGUGAAUAAGGAUCUGCCUAGUGUAUUUAUUA